CCUACGGGUGGCAGCAGUAGGGAAUAUUGCUCAAUGGGGGAAACCCUGAAGCAGCAACGCCGCGUGGAGGAUGAAGGUUUUCGGAUUGUAAACUCCUUUUGUUAGAGAAGAUAAUGACGGUAUCUAACGAAUAAGCACCGGCUAACUCCGUUCCAGCAGCCGCGGUAAUACGGAGGGUGCAAGCGUUACUCGGAUUCACUGGGCGUAAAGAGGGCGUAGGCGGGUUUGCAAGUCAGCUGUGAAAUCCUAUGGCUUAACCAUAGAACUGCAUUUGAAACUGUUAUUCUAGAGUAUGGGAGAGGUAGGUGGAAUUCUUGGUGUAGUGGUAAAAUCCGUAGAGAUCAAGAGGAACACUCAUUGCGAAGGCGACCUGCUAGAACAUAACUGACGCUGAUGCGCGAAAGCGUGGGGAGCAAACAGGAUUAGAUACCCUUGUAGUC
Molecule: ribosomal RNA, 440 nt
Filed under: uncultured bacterium
Lineage: Bacteria
Description: partial 16S ribosomal RNA
Rfam family: Bacterial small subunit ribosomal RNA
Source: RNAcentral